This 253-nucleotide ribosomal RNA is filed under the name uncultured bacterium. RNAcentral's name for it is "partial 16S ribosomal RNA". It matches the Rfam family "Bacterial small subunit ribosomal RNA", at positions 524 to 776 of the family's 1533-position model. The record is from RNAcentral.
UACGUAGGGGCCGAGCGUUGUUCGGAUUCACUGGGCGUAAAGCGUGCGUAGGUGGUCAGGUAAGUCGGAUGUGAAAUCUCCGAGCUCAACUCGGAAACUGCAUUGGAAACUACCUGGCUCGAGGGUUGGAGGGGGGACUGGAAUGCUUGGUGUAGCAGUGAAAUGCGUAGAUAUCAAGCGGAACACCAGUGGCGAAGGCGAGUCCCUGGACAACUACUGACACUGAUGCACGAAAGCGAGGGGAGCAAACAGG